UCUUUCGGGACUGAGGUUAGUGGCGCACGGGUGCGUAACGCGUAUGCAACCUACCUUCCACAGGGGGAUAGCCUUCCGAAAGGAAGAUUAAUACCGCAUGACAUCACGAGAGGGCAUCCGAUUGUGAUCAAAGCUGAGGCGGUGGAAGAUGGGCAUGCGUGCCAUUAGCUAGUUGGUAGGGUAAUGGCCUACCAAGGCGACGAUGGCUAGGGGUUCUGAGAGGAUGGUCCCCCACACUGGUACUGAGACACGGACCAGACUCCUACGGGAGGCAGCAGUAGGGAAUAUUGGGCAAUGGCCGAGAGGCUGACCCAGCCAUGCCGCGUGCAGGAAGAAGGCCUUCUGGGUUGUAAACUGCUUUUAUCGAGGAAGAAAACGCCCCUGCGGGGGUAACUGACGGUACUCGAUGAAUAAGCACCGGCUAACUCCGUGCCAGCAGCCGCGGUAAUACGGAGGGUGCAAGCGUUGUCCGGAUUUAUUGGGUUUAAAGGGUGCGUAGGCGGCCUGUUAAGUCAGUGGUGAAAUCCCAGGGCUCAACCCUGGAACUGCCGUUGAUACUGGCAGGCUUGAGUUCGGUCGAGGCGGGCGGAACUGGUGGUGUAGCGGUGAAAUGCAUAGAUACCACCAAGAACCCCGAUUGCGAAGGCAGCUCGCUGGGCCGAAACUGACGCUGAGGCACGAAAGCGUGGGGAGCGAACAGGAUUAGAUACCCUGGUAGUCCACGCCGUAAACGAUGAUGACUCGAUGUUAGCGAUAUACUGUUAGCGUC
Molecule: ribosomal RNA, 769 nt
Filed under: Pontibacter sp. SR44
Lineage: Bacteria; Pseudomonadati; Bacteroidota; Cytophagia; Cytophagales; Hymenobacteraceae
Description: bacterial SSU rRNA
Rfam family: Bacterial small subunit ribosomal RNA
Source: RNAcentral